CCUACGGGCGGCUGCAGUGGGGAAUUUUGGACAAUGGGCGCAAGCCUGAUCCAGCCAUGCCGCGUGCAGGAUGAAGGCCCUCGGGUUGUAAACUGCUUUUGUACGGAACGAAAAGCCUCUCUCGAAUAAAGAGGGGUGAUGACGGUACCGUAAGAAUAAGCACCGGCUAACUACGUGCCCGCAGCCGCGGUAGUACGUAGGGUGCGAGCGUUAAUCGGAAUUACUGGGCGGGAAGCGUGCGCAAGUGGUGAAGUCCCCGGGCUCAACCUGGGAACGGCCAUUGUGACUGCAAGGCUGGAGUACGGCAGAGGGGGAUGGAAUGCCGCGUGUAGCAGUGAAAUGCGUAGAUAUGCGGAGGAACACCGAUGGCGAAGGCAGUCCCCUGGGCCUGUACUGACGCUCAUGCACGAAAGCGUGGGGAGCAAACAGGAUUAGAUACCCGAGUAGUC
RNAcentral lists this ribosomal RNA (449 nucleotides) under uncultured bacterium. RNAcentral describes it as "partial 16S ribosomal RNA". It matches the Rfam family "Bacterial small subunit ribosomal RNA", at positions 338 to 795 of the family's 1533-position model. The record is from RNAcentral.